UUAUUUUUUAUAACGAUCUAUAUAGAAAAACAUGUCUAUUCCGAAUGCGAAGUGUACCACUCCAAUUCUUCUCAGUGCAUAUUGAAUAAUGCGUUUAUGGCCAGAUGAAUGACACUUCAGACGUGCGUCCCUGGAGCUGCAGCUUACAACUGGCCACUGGCAACUGCAACUGCAACUGGCCGCAAGCCACCGGCCACGGAGGCCAGAAAGGGGAGGGAAGCUCCGACUCUGCCUCCUGGUGGUGCAUAUUUCAUGCGUAAACUUUGGCUUUGGCUCGGGCAUCCGCCACUAUUCGUCAUUUGUGCCGGGCCAUGUCAGUGCUGUGUUUGAAAGAAAUUCGUUUAAAUUGUCAAUUGUCUGGCCUGUCCGCCGCCCGCCGCUCCCGCUAACGCUGCAGCUCAUCGCCGGAAACUGGUUUCCAGUCAGUCCUAAUGAGGCGCAUCAGUGGAAAAAAAAGGAGUAGAGAACGGGGGUCGCAGCGAUGUGGCCCGAACCCUUUUAGCAUUCAGCCGUGAUGGCUGGUGGCCCCCACAGUGGCUGCAUCUGGAUCCCAGGGCCCUGGUGCGUUUGCAUUUAGCUGGCUAGGCACAUUAAAGUCGAGUCAACUUACCCACCAUUCGAGCGGCAUGUUUAGUGCCCUGCCAGUGGUUCCCAUACCCAAACACACUCCCCUUGAAUCCCAUCAGAUCGCAUCCCAUCCAAACGCACUCCCACCGGAGGGGCCAUUUCCAUUCUGAUUUGGUUUAAGAUUCGGAUCGGAUUCGGAUCCUGCUCACUGGGUGUUGCAAUGUCAUUCCCUGCGUUUUACACACUCGCGCACUUUACAGCGCGGCCAUAAAUAAACUUGUAUCUUUAAGAUAGAAAUAGUCGUAAAAAAUCAGCAAAUGACCCCGAAUCCCUCGCUCACCAAGUCGCGUGAGAGCUUUUAGCCCACUCCAGAGCAGACGAACUAGAACCGAUCACGGAUCCGAGAAUCAUCAAAUGGCCAAAGAGCCAGUUGGGCCAUUUGGGCCAUUCGGACCAUUUGGUCCAUCGGAGAACAGAAGAACAUGUGGCAGGCGACUCCAAAGAGCCCAAGCCACGGCCACUGGCACUGGCCUGGCACUGGAACGAGACAAAAUGUCAAUGGGAGCGUCUUGUUCCUGGCCUGGCGUCUCACCAGACAACAUGCAAAUAGCAAAUAGCGUAUAGCGCAUAGCUAGAUGCCAAGUUGAAGUCGAGGAGGAAUCCGCAGCCCAAGGGGCCCAUGUGGCUAUGCAAUUUAGUCAAAGGCCCUAACGGCAUUUGAGCCAAAUGCGUUUACGUUUACGCAUCCGCUAUAAACUCGUAUGCCGGGUUGUAGCUGCCCCAACCACUGCCGAUUCUCCAAGCGGGGAUCUGGGAGCAGGGCUGGCAGUUUAACCAUUUUAUGGAUAUGGCUGGAAAUUCAGAAAGGGGAUUGAUUAAAGGAACAUGGUUGGAAAGUCACCACAACCGAAUAUUGGAUCCUAAACUGAAUUUUUGAACUUUAUCUCUUACUUAUUCAAAAGUUACAAAUCAAGUAAGUAUAAUAACCAAUUAACUCUCGUCUUAUUUGUUUUCCUUUGUUCCAGUGAUCGAAACAGUGAAAUGGAGUCGGUUUUGGCUUUAAUAUCCCUCAGCACUGAGGAAGAGGUGUUGGCAGCGAACCCAGAACCAGUUGGCAGCGUUAUACUUAGGCUUUAAGCAGGAGCAUGCGACAAAACUGUGCUCUGGGCCGGCUGCUCGGUGGCUGGGUCUGGGUCUGGGGAUCCACUUCCUUCGGAGCUGGGAACUGUUAAUUGGACCCAGCCAGCCCGUCCGCUUCCAGGGGCGUCGGAGUUUGGCAGUGCGUGGCGCACUUAAACGAGGUUAACUGUACUGCAGCAAAGGCAUCGCUCGUCUCUGGGCCGCGGCGCGAAUGUAAUUUCCACUUACGUCAACGCCAGCGCUCCAGGGCCACAGAUCCGAUGGGAGAUCCCAGAUCCGAGCGGUCAAUGCACGCAUUACCUACCAGUUACCAUUUGCCAGAUGCCCAGUUUCCAGCUCCCCACCGCCAGCUUAUCGGGCGGGAAUCGCGCAGCCCCGGCACUUUAGCUCCCAGCUCCCAAACCCCCCCUGCUGCCGCCUGCUCAAAAAAAGCCCAUCAAAUCAGCAACGUGAUGCCGCCCUUGGGGCUCUGGGCCUGCACUCUCUCUAUAAAGCGGUCAUAACAUUUGCACCACAAUAAUAGCUGUAAUGCCAACCCAACGCCGCCUAGCCCCCAUUCAUUCAAGGAUAAUGUUACGGUUAAUGGCGCGUCCGCCGAGUAAUUUAAUUUACUCGUACACUCGCCACAUGCCCCCAACAAACGAACAAGGCGAAUUAUUAUGGCCGAAAAUCGCGACUAGACGGCCGCGCAGACGGUGGCCACAUGGAGCCCCAGAUGGGGCCGCAGAUGCAGAUACAGAUGGAGAUGGAGCUGAAGUUGGAGCUGGAGCUGGAGAUAGCUCAUAUCGCGCCCAUCGGCGAUCGUCAGUCGCCCAAACUUUGGAGAUGAGACAGUGAGGACUGGCAGUCGGCCAAGUUGGCCCGAGCAAAUUGCCGGCAUCUAUUGCUAUAAUUUCCCAGAAACUUUGUAGCGAUGGAAAAUCUAGGCGGAAAUUCGGGAAUUUGGCGAGUUAAUGCGAUCAAAGAUAUAAACACUGAUUGAUAUUGGGUUACAUUUCCGAGGCGUAAUGAAGGGUUAUAUCUUCCCGGAUUAUAUGACUUCGUUGAAAAAUGAAUUCCGAUUGGAAAAUAAAACAUUGUUUGAGAAGAUUCCAUAUUGGUCUAAAAUAUUAAGUUUAUUAGUUGGUAUCAAAACGUAUCCUCAGACCAAAUUUGAUUGUAUAAGUUCUUCUAUGGUAAAUAUAUGAUAAUUAAUAUUACAGAAAUUAAGAGCUUAAGAUCGACUUUUAUUCAAUUUAGUUAACACAGUUCCGAUCUAAACCUAUCUGUAUUAAACUAGGAAUGUGCAAUGGUUUUUAAUUUAAUCAAAAUCGAACAAGUAUAUCACAUGCUAAAUACAGUCGGAAAUGAAUAGAAAACUAAUAAAUAAGAAUGUUGUUUUUGAUCAU
Drosophila mauritiana is the source of this 3095-nucleotide long non-coding RNA. RefSeq lists it as uncharacterized. The transcript is spliced from 3 exons. Lineage: Eukaryota; Metazoa; Arthropoda; Insecta; Diptera; Drosophilidae. The record is from RefSeq and is a predicted model, not a curated record.